Molecule: ribosomal RNA, 520 nt
Filed under: uncultured bacterium
Lineage: Bacteria
Description: partial 16S ribosomal RNA
Rfam family: Bacterial small subunit ribosomal RNA
Source: RNAcentral
GACGAACGCUGGCGGCGUGCCUAAUACAUGCAAGUCGAACGCACUCUCGUUUAGAUUGAAGGAGUUUGCUCCUGAUUGAUCAACAUUUGAGUGAGUGGCUGACGGGUGAGUAACACGUGGGUAACCUGCCCUAAAGUGGGGGAUAACAUUUGGAAACAGAUGCUAAUACCGCAUAAAACCUAACACCGCAUGGUGUAGGGUUGAAAGAUGGUUUCGGCUAUCAUUUUAGGAUGGACCCGCGGUGCAUUAGCUAGUUGGUGAGGUAAAGGCUCACCAAGACCAUGAUGCGUAGCCGACCUGAGAGGGUGAUCGGCCACACUGGGACUGAGACACGGCCCAGACUCCUACGGGAGGCAGCAGUAGGGAAUCUUCCACAAUGGGCGAAAGUCUGAUGGAGCAACGCCGCGUGAGUGAAGAAGGUUUUCGGAUCGUAAAACUCUGUUGUUGGAGAAGAAUGUAUGUGAUAGUAACUGAUCAGGUAGUGACGGUAUCCAACCAGAAAGCCACGGCUAACUACGUG